UGGGGAAUAUUGGACAAUGGGCGAAAGCCUGAUCCAGCCAUGCCGCGUGAGUGAUGAAGGCCUUAGGGUUGUAAAGCUCUUUUAGCAGGGAAGAUAAUGACGGUACCUGCAGAAAAAGCCCCGGCUAACUUCGUGCCAGCAGCCGCGGUAAUACGAAGGGGGCUAGCGUUGCUCGGAAUUACUGGGCGUAAAGCGCACGUAGGCGUACUCUUAAGUCGGUGGUGAAAUCCUGGAGCUCAACUCCAGAACUGCCUUCGAUACUGGGAGUCUUGAGUUCGGGAGAGGUGAGUGGAACUGCGAGUGUAGAGGUGAAAUUCGUAGAAAUUCGCAAGAACACCAGUGCCGAAGGCGGCUCACUGGCCCGAUACUGACGCUGAGGUGCGAAAGCGUGGGGAGCAAAC
This 401-nucleotide ribosomal RNA is filed under the name uncultured bacterium. RNAcentral's name for it is "bacterial SSU rRNA". It matches the Rfam family "Bacterial small subunit ribosomal RNA", at positions 355 to 773 of the family's 1533-position model. The record is from RNAcentral.